This 253-nucleotide ribosomal RNA is filed under the name uncultured bacterium. RNAcentral's name for it is "partial 16S ribosomal RNA". It matches the Rfam family "Bacterial small subunit ribosomal RNA", at positions 524 to 776 of the family's 1533-position model. The record is from RNAcentral.
UACGUAGGUGGCAAGCGUUAUCCGGAUUUAUUGGGCGUAAAGGGAACGCAGGCGGUCCUUUAAGUCUGAUGUGAAAGCCUUCGGCUUAACCGGAGUAGUGCAUUGGAAACUGGGAGACUUGAGUGCAGAAGAGGAGAGUGGAACUCCAUGUGUAGCGGUGAAAUGCGUAGAUAUAUGGAAGAACACCAGUGGCGGAAGCGGCUCUCUGGUCUGUAACUGACGCUGAGGUUCGAAAGCGUGGGUAGCAAACAGG